UGAGUAGUGGAGAGGGAAACGGGAAUUCCAGGUGUAGCGGUGGAAUGCGUAGAUAUCGGGAAGAACACCAGGUAGCGAAGGCGGUUUCCGGGCCACAUACUGACGCUGAGGCUCGAAAGCGUGGGGAGCAAACAGGAUUAGAUACCCUGGUAGUCCACGCCGUAAACGAUGGGCACUAGAUAUCGGGGAAUUCAUUUUCGUCGGUGUCGCAGUUAACGCGAUAAGUGCCCCGCCUGGGGAGUACGCUCGCAAGGGUGAAACUCAAAGGAAUUGACGGGGGCCCGCACAAGCGGUGGAGCAUGCGCUUUAAUUCGAUGCAACGCGAAGAACCUUACCUGGGCUUGACAUGGGAGUGAAACUUCCCAGAGAUGGGAAGCCUUCCUUCGGGAACACUCUACACAGGUGCUGCAUGGUUGUCGUCAGCUCGUGUCGUGAGAUGUUGGGUUAAGUCCCGCAACGAGCGCAACCCUCGCCCUUAGUUGCCAUCAGGUAAUGCUGGGAACUCUAGGGGGACCGCCUGGAACAACCAGGAGGAAGGUGGGGAUGAUGUCAAAUCAUCAUGGCUCUUACGUCCAGGGCUAGACGCGUGCUACAAUGGUCGGUACAGAAGGAUGCCAAGUCGCGAGACCGAGCUAAUCCAUUAAAACCGGCCUCAGUUCGGAUUGGAGUCUGCAAUUCGACUCCAUGAAGUUGGAAUCGCUAGUAAUCGCGGAUCAGCAUGCCGCGGUGAUAUGUUCCCGGGCCUUGUACACACCGCCCGUCAAGCCACGAAAGAUGGGAGUGCCCGAAGUCGCUUUGUCCAACCCGCAAGGGGGGACGGUGCCGAAGGUAAGACUAUGAUUGGGGCUAAGU
RNAcentral lists this ribosomal RNA (852 nucleotides) under uncultured organism. RNAcentral's name for it is "bacterial SSU rRNA". It matches the Rfam family "Bacterial small subunit ribosomal RNA", at positions 642 to 1486 of the family's 1533-position model. The record is from RNAcentral.